GAUCAUGGCUCAGGAUGAACGCUAGCUACAUGCUUAACACAUGCAAGUCGAGGGGCAUCAGGGUGUAGCAAUACACCGCUGGCGACCGGCGCACGGGUGAGUAACACGUAUCCAACCUGCCCUUUACUCGGGGAUAGCCUUUCGAAAGAAAGAUUAAUACCCGACGGCAUAACAUGACCUCCUGGUUUUGUUAUUAAAGAAUUUCGGUAGAGGAUGGGGAUGCGUUCCAUUAGGCAGUUGGCGGGUAACGG
Molecule: ribosomal RNA, 251 nt
Filed under: uncultured bacterium
Lineage: Bacteria
Description: partial 16S ribosomal RNA
Rfam family: Bacterial small subunit ribosomal RNA
Source: RNAcentral